This 7571-nucleotide long non-coding RNA is filed under the name Glycine max (soybean). Its description in RNAcentral is "long non-coding RNA (GMAX_LNC004611)". Lineage: Eukaryota; Viridiplantae; Streptophyta; Magnoliopsida; Fabales; Fabaceae. The record is from RNAcentral.
GCUCUUAUUUCUUAUUCUCCAUGCCAUUCUCAUGUCUCUGGCCACAUCACAGCCAAACUUCGUAAAACAUUACUGUUUUGACCAAAAUGGUAACUACACUGCUAAUAGUACGUUUCAGGCCAACCUCAAUGCCCUUUUGUAUCCAACCUCUCUUCCAACACUGAAAUCGACUAUGGCUUCUACAAUUUCUCAAAUGGCCAAAACUCUGACAAAGUCAACGUUAUUGGGAUGUGUAGAGGAGAUCUUAAGCCAGAAGCUUGCCGUAGUUGCCUCAACAAUUCAAGAAUCCUUCUCACACAACUUUUCCAAACCAGAAGGAGGCAAUUGGGUGGUAUGAUCAGCGCAUGUUGCGCUACUCUACUCUCUCAAUAUUUGGAAUUGCUGAUUCUUCUCCUUUGUAUGAUCAGCGCAUGUUGCGCUACUCUACUCUACAACCAAAAUGAAACAAAUGUGGAUCAGUAAAAUGAAGUUGUCGGGGACCUUCUCAGAAUUCUAGGAAACAGAGCUGCUGCCGGUGAUUCUCAUCGUAUGUAUGCUCAAGCAAACAAAACAGGUCCAAGCUUUCAAACUGUAUUUGCUCAUGUGCAAUGCACACCUGAUUUGUUAGAGUUGGAAUGCAAUCAGUGCUUGUUUGGAAACUUAAUAUCAUAUAUCCCAAAAUGCAGGCAGUUCUGAUUGUUUCCAUGCGCACAACGGGAGCAAAUAUUUCAUUGAAAUCAACUCGGACAGUUGUGAAUAUCCUUUAGUGACAAGUCGUGCUUUGUGUUUCUGGAUUGUUCCAUCCUCAUUAUAUUUAAUUUUGUAAACUCAUUUCAGGCCAAUGAUCUCCUUGUCUGCUCCCAUGUAUAAUUUUUCUCUAUUAUUUUGAUUUCCUCGUCCAUGGCUUUUGGAUAACUUCUAAAUAAUUGUAUUUUGAUAAUAUAAAAUAAGGUAAAAUUAUCUUUAAAAAUAAUUAUUUGCACUUAAAUAUUAAAGAAUUGAUGUUUUGUUGAAUUUUGGCUAUAGAUAUAAAAAUUGGAGGUGUAACAAGCAAAAAGGCCAGAAAAAUUGAAAAAAAAAAGAAAAUAUGAAGUAGGCACAGCCCAAUAUACGCACUCAGCACACGUCGCGAGCUAAGCGGGCCAGGAAGCACAGGCGCUAAGCGAGGUGUUAAGCUCGAGAGUUGUCAUGUGCCCUUAGUGCACAACAGGCGCUAAGCGCGCAUAACUGAAAUAGAAUGCGCUAAGCCUGCAACACGCACACAACUCGUGUAGAUCGUGCUAAGCGCGCCUAUGAAGGCCCAAAACCCACUUCAACAGCUAUAAGUAGAGAGCCAGUCCAAGGGGGGAAACACAGAACACCACGACAGAAUGUGGGGUUUCAUUUACUCCCUCUCUUUCUUUCCACCCCCUUCUCAUUGUAAAGCCCUCAAUGGCCAUGAGUAGCUAAACCCUUAGUUAGGGUCUGACAAGCCUAGAAGCCAAUGUGAUGUAUGAUGUACUCUUCACUAUUUAUCAAUGCAAUACCAGUUUUUUCUUUCCUAUUUUCUUUUCUGUUUUUAUCUUGCAUACUCAUUUUUAUAUUCUGUUAGGGGUUAGAUGCUAGGGAGAGGGUAACUUCUAAAUAAGAUUUAAAGAAGAUAUGCAUGCAUUAGUUUUAGGGGUUAGACGCUCGGGAAAGGAAAACUUCUAAUAGAACAAGAAGAAAAAAUAUCAUAAUAAAAUCAUUGUUAGGCAUAGAGUGAUUGCAUUAUGCCCAUGCAUCAAAGCAAACAUCUAGAAUUAGAACUUCAUGCAUUUUAUCUAUUGAGUCUUUGCAAAGACAUUUGGGAGAUAAAUAGGUAAAAUAGGCUUGUCAUCGUGAGGCAUCAGGGGCAAGUAAAUGAAUAGAUGUGGGUAGGAUAGAAUCACCUGAAUUGGUAAAGAAAAAUCAUACACUCAUACGCAGGCUAGGCAAGUUAGUUUCCAACAUUAUCUUAUCUUUUAAUUUUAUCUUUAAUUCUUUUAUCUUUUCCUUUAUCUUCUAAUUUUAUCUUUAAAUAUCUUAUCUUUUCUUUACCUUAUCUUCUAUCUUUCUUUAUCUCUUACCUUAAAUCUCUUAUCUCUUGCUUGAAAAAUUGGAUUUGCAUUAAUUUAAGUACAAACAAAGUUCCGAGUACUUUACUACUUGUGACAAUUUGGUGCACUUGCCAACGAGUUAACACUUUUCUCCAAACUUCUUCUUUCGAUGCUUCCUCAAAAUUUUUGAGGUUCACAGGCAAAAAAUCUAACAUUUGCGUACUUUGGAUUCGGUUUGUGUGGCCUUCCUGAUCUUCGAAGUUGUUGUUGUGGGACUUCUUCUACUUCUUCUUGCUGGUGCUGCUGGUCAUGUUGUGCUGGUGAUGGUGGCAGUGUGCACGAGCUUGGAUUGGUUAUUUCUUGCGUCUCAUUGACUUUAGUACUCCAUUGCCAGCUUGCUCCUUCGUCAAAGAUGACAUCUCUUGAAAUGAUCAGCAGUUUUGAAUCUGGUUUGAAUAAUCGGUAACCUUUAGAUUGGUCACUAUAGCCAACAAAGAUGCACUUUUCUCCUUUUUCAUUGAGAUUUUGUCGGUUCUCCUUUGGAAUGUGCGAAUAAGAAACACAUCCAAAAACUUUAAAAUGAUCAACUGUUGGUUUUCUAUUGAACCAUGCUUUAUAUGACAUCAUAUUUAAGACUACUUUAGUUGAAGAACGGUUGAGGAUGUAUACUGCUAUACUAACAACUUCCGCCCAUAGAUUCUUUAGCAGGUUCUUGUGUUGUAGCAUUGAUCGAGCCAUUUCCACAAUGGUUCUGUUUUUCCUUUUAGCGACAUCAUUUUGUUGUGGAUUGUGACGAACAGUCAGCUCUUUCUUGAUGCCAUGAUCAUUGCAAAAAUUGAUGAAUAUGUGUCCAUUGAAUUCUCUCACGCGAUCUGUUCUCAAGAUUUUAAGGGAAUGCCCACUUUGCUUUUCCACUAGGGCCUUGAACUCCUUGAAGCAAGAGAAUGCAUCGGAUUUUUGUUGGAUGAAGUACACCCACAUCGUUCGAGUGUAGUCAUCAACAAAGAGGAGAAAAUAUCUUCUUCCACCAAAGCUGGGGGUACUUGAUGGUCCCCAGAUAUCAGCAUGCACCAAUUGAAGUGGAGCUUUAGCUCUCCAAGAUGCUUUUGGAAAUGGUAACUUGUGCAUCUUGCCAUAAAUGCAGCCUUCACAAACUUUAAGGUUAGAUGAAAUAAAAGGAAGUUGAAGCACCAUAUUUUUUGUUUUAAUAAUUUGAGGUCAUUAAAGUUUAGAUGACCAUACCUCAAGUGCCAUAGUAUGGACUCAUCCAUAUUCUCACAUUUCAAUGCAUUGUUUUGCCCAAAUGGCAUAAAUAGAGGAAAUACUUUAUUAGGAGCCAUUUUGAUAGAAAUAAUUUGGCCAUUUUUUUUAUCAAUGAUAUUACAUUUAUCAUCAUCAAAGAUGACUUUAUAAUUUUUAUGAAUAAGUUGACCAACAGUUAGAAGAUUUUGAGUAAGACCUGACACAUAAAAAAUAUUAUGGAUAUAUUUUUGGCUAUCAUUUUGAGUUUUAACAACAAUGGUGCCUUUUCUUUCAACUAUUUGAACAUUUCCAUCACCAAGUAUAACUUUGGAUUUUAUUGUCUCAUCUAGUUGCACAAAGCAACUUUUGUUUUUUGUCAUGUGAUUUGAACAACCACUAUCAACAUACCAUACAUCCCUUGAUUCUUGAAAAGAUGAAGCAGAGUACAAAGUAUGAUCAAGGGAUUCUUUAUUUUCUAGAAAAUUUGCUUCUUCUUUUUGUCGGUAAAAACAAUCUUUUCGUAGUGUAGGUGCCUUUUUCACUUUUCGCGUUUGUACCGACAAUCAUUUGUAUCAUGAUUAUUUUUCUGGCAUAAUUUGCAAUAGGAGCUUGAAGCAUUAUUACUCCAUUGCUUUCCACUCCUUUUACCACGAUUAGUAAAUGCUCCUCCUCUUUUUUGAGGAAAUUUACCGUAGUUAUUUUUCUUAUCUUUAUCAUUUUUAGAGAUAUUAAUUUUAUAUUGAAAUGCUUGUUCUAGUGGUUGCUCAAAUCUUUUCAUUCUAGCUUCAUGAGCUUCUAAAGAGCCCAUUAAUUCUACUAGAGUGAGUUUAGAUAAAACUUUUGAUUCUUCUAUGGCAGCCACAAUAUGAUCAUAUUUUAUGGGAAGACUUCUUAAUAUUUUUAGUAUUAUUUUCUUGUCUUCAAUCGUGUCCCCGUAACUUCUAAUUUGAUUGAAGAUAUUUGAGACACGAGAGAAAAAAGAUUGUAUAGAUUCAUCAUUCCGCAUUAUUAAUGUAUCAAAAUCCUUCCACAAAGAUUGAAGUUUAAUAGAAAUUACCUUGUCUGUGCCUUUAAAUUCAUUUUUUAGAGUUUACCACGCCUCCUUUGCAUUUUUUGCUUGCAUGAUUAUUGGCAAGAUCUCUCUACUAACUCCUUGUUGGAUGAAUAGCAGAGCCUUAACAUCAUACUGCUUGUUUUGCUUGUAGUUCUUUUGCUUUGUUGUUGUCCACGUAGCCAAUUCUUCUUGGCUUUCUGGGACUGGAUAGUCAUUCUCUAUAACAUCCCACAAGUCUUGUGAGAUGAAUAGAGUUUGCAUUUGAAUGCUCCAAUAAUCAUAUGCUUCCCUAUUAAAUAUGAGAACUAAGGUUUGGUUAUAGUUGAAGGUUAGUGGGCUAGGUGAUGUAGCAAAGGCCAUAGCAUCAACAUUGCUCUGAUGCCACUGUUAGGAUAUGAGACGUGAUUAUGUUAUUUUUAUUUUUUAUGGAAGGAUAUGGUAGAAAUGUAUGAUAGAAAUGAUGAGAGUAGAAAGAAGAUGAGUUUUCAAAAAAUUGACACCUUAACUUGAAUUGUACUUAUUAGUUUCUUGACUUACAUUACGUGGCUUGCUACAACUUAUGCCUUUAUAUAGGUUACAUAGGUGAUUUCUACAUACUUCUAUACUACUUAGUCCUAAAGUCUUCUAGACUUAUCUAUCAUCUAUCAUUAAUCUCUAUAAUGUUUUAAGUACUUCUAUGACUUUAGAUAAUAAGAUAUUUUUCUACCUCCAUCAAGAAGUUUCUACACACUACAACAUCUCCAUAGGUGUAAAACUCUCUAGAUAAUGGACCACCAAUUAUACAUCUAUACUUUUCUAGAUUAAUGUUCAACAAAAACUAAUGGUGGUGUAAGACAAUCUCCUUGUAAUGGAUUCUCAUGUCUCUUAAGUCAAACCACCGUCCAGUCAGUCUUCGUAAAACAUUAUUGUCUUUGUAUUCGACAAAAAUGACACGGCUAAGAGUAGCUUCCUGGCAAACUUCAACACCCUUUUUGUUCAACUUGCUUUCUAAACUUUCUCAAAAAGACCAAGUGAAUCUCGUCUUUUAUAUAGCACAAUAAACGAAUCAAGUUGCACGCGCAUGCGUCCAUUAAUAUUUUAAUUUACGAUAGCAUAAAUAAUUCUUCCGGGUAGACUGAGUUUUAUGAUUAGAGCAUUGAUUUGGUCCUACACAUCGCUCAAUCAGGUAAAGAAUAAUCUAUUUAAAUCGGGCUUAAACAAAACUUGCCGCGUUCGGGAAUCUUGGAACACAACAAGUCCUUCAAAGUUUUAGUGCUUAUUUGGAUGUUAAUAAAAUUAAUUUUGAUUCAAAUUAAUUUUAAAAAUAUUUUAUAUUUAGAUAUUUUUAUUAUAAAAUUAAAUUAAAAAUAAAUUUUAAUAUUAAUUUUUUAUCUAAUACAAAAGUUUCUAAAAGUUAUCUGAAUUCAAAAUUUAAAUGUAAAAUUAAUUUUAAAAUUUUGUAUAAUGCGAAUCCAAACAUGUAAAAAUUAAUCUAAAAUUAAUUUUCCAAUAUAAAAUCAAACUCUUAGAGUAAUUAUAGACAUACAUUUAUCAUAAAUACAUAUUUUACAUCUCUCUCGUAUCAAAUUAUAUCAUCAAUUAUAUUUACACUUUUUUUUUUCAUUUUUCUCUUUUUCUUAGGAUGUGUUUAUUUUAAAAGAAAAAAAUAAUAUAUAAAAUAAUUUUUAUAUUUUAUUAUAUGAAAAUCUAACCUCUUGCAUUUUACUUUAAUUCAAAAAAUUUCUUUUUAUUUCUCACCAUUGAACUAAACACACCAUACGGUGUCAAUUAGAGUCUCCAAACGUCUUUAUUUUUUUAUUAUUAUUCAUAUAUUACUUAUCAAAGUUAAUGUACCGAGGACACACCAAUACCAAUUAUUACGUGAUCCGACUUUGAUUAAAAUUUUACCUGCAGUCUUCUGUCAACUACAAUAUACGCAAGUGGAUAUAUGAACUUUCCAAAAUUUGAUGGUUUUAACAACUUGCAAAUCAUAUGGAACCAUCUUUCUGACACGCUGUUCAUUCAUGACUGGUCUUCGUUGAUGUGCGGACUACAUGAAUUGUGCUAGUACUAAAAAUUAUAAGUUUUAAUGAUAGAUUCAUGAUAUUUAAAUUCAAGGACUUACUGAUUAGUUUCCUAAAGACAAUGAUUAAGGAAUUGAAAAUUUUUAAUAUAGAAAUCCUAAAAAACAUAAAAAUAACUAUAAAUAACAUAAAUUUUACGCAUCUUUAACAAUUUUUUUUCCUUUUAACUCUUUAAUCAACACUGUUAUAAUAUUGAGUAACAUUUACCGUAUUAUGUAUAGUUCAAAUGAUAUACAUUUCCUCAUUAUCUGCAAAAUCGUAAAACAGACCAUUGAAUAAAUUUGGUCCACUGAGUCAGCUAAGGAAUAAAAUUUAAGUCUGCAAAACCGCCUUCGGGAAUCCAUUAGCGUGUAUAAACAAUUCAUUUUUUUUCUGUCAACAGAAUAAAAGAAACAAUUCAAAUUUUUUAACCACUUUAGGUUAGAUUUUUUGAGUAUUUGAGUCAAACAGUUCGUAUGAGUUAAGUUAGGUUUUAAUUUUUAAUUCUACUAAUCCAACUUGUUAAUGUAUGAUGUUAUUAAAAUGCAAUAAUGAAGCGCACGUUCACCUCCACGUUCUUUUAAUUAAUUAAUUUUAUUAUUUUUUAAAAAAUUAGUUAUUUUGAAUCUGAUCCAUUUUCCAUUCACAUUCAUCUCAUAUCUUUGCAAAUAUAUUUGUAACCACCUUCCGUAAUUGCCGCUGUUUUGUCUAAAUAAUGUGCUAUUUAAAUUUAUUUACAUGUUUAGAUUAGUAACAUUAGUGCAUGUAUAUUUUUACAAUAAUAAAACCUAUAAGACAAUGUUUGCUCACGGGUCUAUAAAAAAACACAGGGUCCAUUAACGGGAGCUUCCAUCAAUCUUUCUCUUUGUUACAUGCCAUUCAUUCACAAUUUCAGGAUGGCUGCUCCGGCCAUAGUUUCUAAAACUUUGCUCUUAUUUCUUAUUCUCCAUGCCAUUCUCAUGUCUCUGGCCACAUCACAGCCAAACUUCGUAAAACAUUACUGUUUUGACCAAAAUGGUAACUACACUGCUAAUAGUACGUUUCAGGCCAACCUCAAUACCUUGUUGUCCAACCUCUCUUCCAACACUGAAAUCGACUAUGGCUUCUACAAUUUCUCAAAUGGCCAAAACACUGACAAAGUCAACGUUAUUGGGAUGUGUAGAGGAGAUCUUAAGCCAGAAGCUUGCCGUAGUUGCC